This 328-nucleotide ribosomal RNA is filed under the name uncultured Bacteroidota bacterium. RNAcentral's name for it is "bacterial SSU rRNA". It matches the Rfam family "Bacterial small subunit ribosomal RNA", at positions 28 to 351 of the family's 1533-position model. The record is from RNAcentral. Lineage: Bacteria; Pseudomonadati; Bacteroidota.
GAUGAACGCUAGCGGGAGGCUUAACACAUGCAAGUCGAGGGGCAGCACGAGGUAGCAAUACUUUGGUGGCGACCGGCGCACGGGUGAGUAACGCGUAUGCAACCUACCCUGUACUGGGGGAUAACCCGGAGAAAUUCGGACUAAUAUCCCAUAAUAUUAUGAGAGGGCAUCUGAUUAUAAUUAAAGUUCCGGCGGUACAGGCUGGGCAUGCGGAACAUUAGCUAGUUGGUAAGGUAACGGCUUACCAAGGCUUUGAUGUUUAGGGGUCCUGAGAGGGUGAUCCCCCACACUGGUACUGAGACACGGACCAGACUCCUACGGGAGGCUG